Molecule: long non-coding RNA, 537 nt
Filed under: Salmo salar (Atlantic salmon)
Lineage: Eukaryota; Metazoa; Chordata; Actinopteri; Salmoniformes; Salmonidae
Description: lncRNA (ENSSSAG00000098961.1)
Source: RNAcentral
GAGAGGAGUCACAGUCCAGACGACCAACAGGUUAAACAUUGAGGAGACAGAGAGGAGUCACAGUCCAGACGACCAACAGGUUAAAACAUUGAGGAGACAGAGAGGAGUCACAGUCCAGACGACCAACAGGUUAAAACGUUAAGGAGACAGAGAGGAGUCACAGUCCAGACGACCAACAGGUUAAACAUUGAGGAGACAGAGAGGAGUCACAGUCCAGACGACCAACAGGUUAAACAUUGAGGAGACAGAGAGGAGUCACAGACCAGACGACCAACAGGUUAAAACAUUGAAGAGACAGAGAGGAGUCACAGUCCAGGCGACCAACAGGUUAAAAAAGAGAGUUAAAAUAAAAAGGUUAUAGUUGUGGUGGGAGCAAUGAGUCUCUCAAUCUCUCUCUUCCCUAUCUGUCUCUCUCUCUCUUUCUUUCUAUCUCUCUCAUCCCUAUCUGUCUCUCUAUCUCUCUCUCAAUCUCUCUCUUCCCUAUCUGUCUCUCUCUCUCUCUCUCUCUUUCUAUCUCUCUCUUUCUCUCUCGCUUUC